AGCGAACGCUGGCGGCAGGCUUAACACAUGCAAGUCGAGCGGGCCCUUCGGGGUCAGCGGCGGACGGGUGAGUAACGCGUGGGAACGUGCCUUCUGGUCUGGAAUAACCCUGGGAAACUAGGGCUAAUACCGGAUACGCCCUUUUGGGGAAAGGUUUACUGCCGGAAGAUCGGCCCGCGUCUGAUUAGCUAGUUGGUGGGGUAACGGCCUACCAAGGCGACGAUCAGUAGCUGGUCUGAGAGGAUGAUCAGCCACACUGGGACUAAGACACGGCCCAGACUCCUACGGGAGGUAGCAGUGGGGAAUAUUGGACAAUGGGCGCAAGCCUGAUCCAGCCAUGCCGCGUGAGUGAUGAAGGCCUUAGGGUUGUAAAGCUCUUUUAUCCGGGACGAUAAUGACGGUACCGGAGGAAUAAGCCCCGGCUAACUUCGUG
Molecule: ribosomal RNA, 433 nt
Filed under: uncultured bacterium
Lineage: Bacteria
Description: partial 16S ribosomal RNA
Rfam family: Bacterial small subunit ribosomal RNA
Source: RNAcentral